CCUACGGGAGGCUGCAGUGGGGAAUAUUGCACAAUGGGGGAAACCCUGAUGCAGCGACGCCGCGUGAGCGAGGAAGUCCUUAGGUAUGUAAAGCUCUAUCAGCAGGGACGAAAAAAGACGGUACCUGACUAAGAAGCACCGGCUAACUACGUGCCAGCAGCCGCGGUAAUACGGAGGGGCCAAGCGUUAUCCGGAUUUACUGGGUGUAAAGGGAGCGUAGACGGUAAGGCAAGCCAGAAGUGAAAGGGCAGGGCUCAACCCUGUACGUGCUUUUGAAACUGUGGUGCUAGAGUGCUGGAGAGGUAGGUGGAAUGCCUGGUGUAGCGGUGAAAUGCGUAGAUAUUAGGAAGAACACCGGUGGCGAAGGCAGCUUACUAGACUGUAACUGACGUUGAGGCUCGAAAGCGUGGGGAGCAAACAGGAUUAGAUACCCUUGUAGUC
RNAcentral lists this ribosomal RNA (441 nucleotides) under uncultured bacterium. RNAcentral describes it as "partial 16S ribosomal RNA". It matches the Rfam family "Bacterial small subunit ribosomal RNA", at positions 338 to 795 of the family's 1533-position model. The record is from RNAcentral.